GCUACCCUGCUGUAUACGUGCAGCCUUAAAAGUUUUGAGCUAACACUGAUCAAAAGGGUUCCCAACUUUAUGUGCCGCAUAGACGCCCCGCCAGAGGGGACCUAUAGAGCAUGUAAGAGGGUACCCACCUGGGGAGAGCAGUUCAAAACGGCGGGCCCACGGUAUGGUGGGGUAUUU
RNAcentral lists this non-coding RNA (177 nucleotides) under Bacillota bacterium. RNAcentral's name for it is "Firmicutes bacterium (anaerobic digester metagenome) 6S RNA". It matches the Rfam family "6S / SsrS RNA". Rfam says of the family: E. coli 6S RNA was the first non coding RNA to be sequenced, but its function was unknown until recently. It consists of 184 nucleotides that fold into an extended hairpin structure with a large single-stranded internal bulge. The 6S RNA specifically associates with RNA polymerase holoenzyme containing the sigma70 specificity factor. Lineage: Bacteria; Bacillati; Bacillota. RNAcentral also lists the same sequence under 1 other name. The record is from RNAcentral.